RNAcentral lists this non-coding RNA (28 nucleotides) under Mus musculus (house mouse). Lineage: Eukaryota; Metazoa; Chordata; Mammalia; Rodentia; Muridae. The record is from RNAcentral.
UUCCUUCAGUCUGUGCUGCACAUUUUGU